AGCGAACGCUGGCGGCAGGCUUAACACAUGCAAGUCGAACGGGCGUAGCAAUACGUCAGUGGCAGACGGGUGAGUAACGCGUGGGAACGUACCUUUUGGUUCGGAACAACUGAGGGAAACUUCAGCUAAUACCGAAUAAGCCCUUACGGGGAAAGAUUUAUCGCCGAAAGAUCGGCCCGCGUCUGAUUAGCUUGUUGGUGAGGUAACGGCUCACCAAGGCGACGAUCAGUAGCUGGUCUGAGAGGAUGAUCAGCCACAUUGGGACUGAGACACGGCCCAAACUCCUACGGGAGGCAGCAGUGGGGAAUAUUGGACAAUGGGCGAAAGCCUGAUCCAGCCAUGCCGCGUGAGUGAUGAAGGCCCUAGGGUUGUAAAGCUCUUUUGUGCGGGAAGAUAAUGAC
Molecule: ribosomal RNA, 401 nt
Filed under: uncultured bacterium
Lineage: Bacteria
Description: bacterial SSU rRNA
Rfam family: Bacterial small subunit ribosomal RNA
Source: RNAcentral